Molecule: ribosomal RNA, 901 nt
Filed under: uncultured Bacillota bacterium
Lineage: Bacteria; Bacillati; Bacillota
Description: bacterial SSU rRNA
Rfam family: Bacterial small subunit ribosomal RNA
Source: RNAcentral
CAAGUCGAACGCGAAAGUUCCCUUCGGGGAACAAGUAGAGUGGCGCACGGGUGAGUAACACGUAGGUAAUCUACCUUCGGAUGGGGAAUAACAACCGGAAACGGUUGCUAAUACCGCAUAAUGCAGCGGCACCUAAUGGUGACAGUUGUUAAAGCGGGGGAUCGCAAGACCUCGCGUCUGAAGAGGAGCCUGCGGCGGAUUAGCUUGUUGGUGAGGUAAAAGCUCACCAAGGCGAUGAUCCGUAGCCGGCCUGAGAGGGCGGUCGGCCACACUGACACUGACAUACGGGUCAGACUCCUACGGGAGGCAGCAGUCGGGAAUUUUGGGCAAUGGGCGAAAGCCUGACCCAGCAACGCCGCGUGAAGGAUGAAAUCCCUCGGGAUGUAAACUUCGCAAGAACGGGAAGAAUAAGCGAAAGUUAAUAUCUUUCGUGAUGACGGUACCGUUUGUAAGCUCCGGCUAACUCCGUGCCAGCAGCCGCGGUAAUACGGGGGGAGCAAGCGUUGUUCGGAUUUACUGGGCGUAAAGGGCGCGUAGGCGGCCACCGCAAGUCGAUUGUGAAAUCUCCGGGCUUAACCCGGAAAGGUCAACCGAUACUGCGGGGCUAGAGUGCGGAAGGGGCAACUGGAAUUCUUGGUGUAGCGGUGAAAUGCGUAGAUAUCAAGAGGAACACCUGCGGCGAAGGCGGGUUGCUGGGCCGACACUGACGCUNAUGCGCGAAAGCUAGGGGAGCGAACGGGAUUAGAUACCCCGGUAGUCCUAGCCUUAAACGAUGAAUGCUUGGUGUCUGGGGUUUAUAGUCCCCGGGUGCCGUCGCUAACGCUUUAAGCAUUCCGCCUGGGGAGUACGGUCGCAAGACUGAAACUCAAAGGAAUUGACGGGGACCCGCACAAGCGGUGGA